GUGGGUAGUUUGACUGGGGCGGUCUCCUCCUAAAGAGUAACGGAGGAGCACGAAGGUUGGCUAAUCCUGGUCGGACAUCAGGAGGUUAGUGCAAUGGCAUAAGCCAGCUUGACUGCGAGCGUGACGGCGCGAGCAGGUGCGAAAGCAGGUCAUAGUGAUCCGGUGGUUCUGAAUGGAAGGGCCAUCGCUCAACGGAUAAAAGGUACUCCGGGGAUAACAGGCUGAUACCGCCCAAGAGUUCAUAUCGACGGCGGUGUUUGGCACCUCGAUGUCGGCUCAUCACAUCCUGGGGCUGAAGUAGGUCCCAAGGGUAUGGCUGUUCGCCAUUUAAAGUGGUACGCGAGCUGGGUUUAGAACGUCGUGAGACAGUUCGGUCCCUAUCUGCCGUGGGCGCUGGAGAACUGAGGGGGGCUGCUCCUAGUACGAGAGGACCGGAGUGGACGCAUCACUGGUGUUCGGGUUGUCAUGCCAAUGGCACUGCCCGGUAGCUAAAUGCGGAAGAGAUAAGUGCUGAAAGCAUCUAAGCACGAAACUUGCCCCGAGAUGAGUUCUCCCUGAGACUUAGAGUCUCCUGAAGGAACGUUGAAGACGACGACGUUGAUAGGCCGGGUGUGUAAGCGCAGCGAUGCGUUGAGCUAACCGGUACUAAUGAACCGUGAGGCUUAACCUU
Molecule: ribosomal RNA, 670 nt
Filed under: Escherichia coli
Lineage: Bacteria; Pseudomonadati; Pseudomonadota; Gammaproteobacteria; Enterobacterales; Enterobacteriaceae
Also listed under: 68 other names
Description: partial 23S ribosomal RNA
Rfam family: Bacterial large subunit ribosomal RNA
Source: RNAcentral